Molecule: long non-coding RNA, 667 nt
Filed under: Rattus norvegicus (Norway rat)
Lineage: Eukaryota; Metazoa; Chordata; Mammalia; Rodentia; Muridae
Description: long non-coding RNA NONRATT013784
Source: RNAcentral
CCCCAAAUACCCCAGCAAGCAGGUAGGCCAGCCCUUUCGGCUUAGCACGCCGCAGCCCCCACCCCACCCCUACCAUGGGGCCAUCUGGACCGAGGUGUGGGAGUGAUAGAACAGGUGUGCCUUGCCUGCUAUGAUCAACUCGAUCAUGUGGGAGCAUCCUGAGCUAACUGUGGGAGGUGGGAACACUGAUCUCGGGGUACUGAGGCCUCAACUAAGGACCCUUCUGCCUUGCCCGGAUAUGGAAGGUUAGGCUGAGUGGAAACUGAUAGGGGGCUUCGAUGUGUCUUCCCUGCCCCUCCCCACAAGGGGGAAGUGUAUGACUUGUCAGAUCCCAGUAUGCCGAACCAGCUACUGGAUCUUUCAGGUGGAGCUGAUGGGCAGGUUUAUAGGUUUGGAGACAGAAGGGCAGAGGCAGAUAUGGGAGAAGACGACUCCAAACCUGGGUCUCUAUUAGAGAUCAGCUGUAUAGGUGCUUCUUUGGAGGGGACACGGAAGACCUAGAAUCUGGGUGGGGACUCUGCUGGGGAGGGGGGAACCUCCCCACUUGUGCCUUCUAUAUGUACUGUGUAUUAACUUUUUCCUCAUCCCCAGGCCUCGGGGGCUGGCCCCACAUCCCCUACCCCAGCCCUUUUCAUGUGGCCCCACAAUAAAGUUCUCUAUUUUUGGA